UCUGACAGACACUUGAGCUCUGAAAGGUUCGCCAUCACUGACAUCGGCUCCCCCUCCUGGAGGUGAAGAGCUCCUGAAGGCCAGGGGUGCACCACAGGAGGACCAACCCCGGCCAGGUUUUUCUCCUCAGAAAGAAAAGGUUGACAGCUCCAUGUGCCAGCUGCCCACUGUCACCGGUGAGCUAAUAACUGAUUUUGGAUGCACUUCUGCUAAUUUCAAGUGAUGGCCACCCAUAUCUCCUCAGGCAAAUGUCCUCCUCCUUUGCGCAUCUGUUUCACUGGUAGUUCACUUUGUAGCCCAGGCUGGUCUCAAACUUGCAAGGAUCCUCCUGCCUCAGCCUCCCAAGUGCUGGGAUUAUAGAAGUGCACCACCACGCCUGGUUUCCAGAACUGUUUUUCCCAUCUGCUGCAUGAGGAUUGGAGUAGAGGAACAUUUCCCAAACUGAAAAAUGGAGAGAAUGUGAAAGAAGAAGAUGGGUGAGGGCGAAUAUUUAGCUGAAUAUUUUGCAAAAAGUCACAUAGCACCUCUUCAAUAUUAAAGACUCUAAGAUUGUGUUGUUCAGUAGCCUUCAGCCACAUAAGAUAUUUAUUUACAAAAAAAGAUAUUUACUUGCCUUUUAAGACAGGGGUCUCGGGGGCUGGAGGUUUAGCUCAGCGGCAUAAGCACCUGCCUUGGAAGCAGGCAGUCGUGAGUUCGAUCCCCGGUACCGAUAAAAACGAAAAAGCCAAAAAAAAAAAAAAAAAAAAAAAGACAGGGGUCUCAAGUUGUCCUUGAAUUUGUGAUCGUCCUGCCUCAGCCUCUCAUGUGCUGCGAUCAGAGGCAUGUAUCACCAUACCUGGCUUAUCU
Long non-coding RNA from Cavia porcellus (domestic guinea pig), 846 nucleotides. RefSeq lists it as uncharacterized. The record is from RefSeq and is a predicted model, not a curated record. The transcript is spliced from 4 exons. Lineage: Eukaryota; Metazoa; Chordata; Mammalia; Rodentia; Caviidae.